RNAcentral lists this ribosomal RNA (253 nucleotides) under uncultured bacterium. RNAcentral's name for it is "partial 16S ribosomal RNA". It matches the Rfam family "Bacterial small subunit ribosomal RNA", at positions 524 to 776 of the family's 1533-position model. The record is from RNAcentral.
UACGAAGGGGGCGAGCGUUGUUCGGAAUUACUGGGCGUAAAGGGCUCGUAGGUGGCCAACUAAGUCAGACGUGAAAUCCCUCGGCUUAACCGGGGAACUGCGUCUGAUACUGGAUGGCUUGAGUUCGGGAGAGGGAUGCGGAAUUCCAGGUGUAGCGGUGAAAUGCGUAGAUAUCUGGAGGAACACCGGUGGCGAAGGCGGCAUCCUGGACCGACACUGACGCUGAGGAGCGAAAGCCAGGGGAGCAAACGGG